RNAcentral lists this ribosomal RNA (480 nucleotides) under uncultured bacterium. Its description in RNAcentral is "partial 16S ribosomal RNA". It matches the Rfam family "Bacterial small subunit ribosomal RNA", at positions 28 to 507 of the family's 1533-position model. The record is from RNAcentral.
GACGAACGCUGGCGGCGUGCUUAACACAUGCAAGUCGAACGAUGAAGAAAAGAAUUGAAGCUUCGGCAGAAAUUCAUUUCGGAUUAGUGGCAGACGGGUGAGUAACGCGUGAGCAACCUACCUCUUACAAAGGGAUAGCCUCGGGAAACCGGGAUUAAUACCAUAUAACAUUGCGACGAAGCAUUUCGAUGCAAUCAAAGCUACGGCGGUAAGAGAUGGGCUCGCGUCCCAUUAACCAGAUGGGGAGGUAACGGCUCACCAUAGUAACGAUGGGUAACCGGGCGGGUAGGGGGAACGGUCACACUGGAACUGAGACACGGUCCAGACUCCUACGGGAGGCAGCAGUGGGGAAUAUUGCACAAUGGAGGGAACUCUGAUGCAGCGACGCCGCGUGAGUGAUGAAGGAAUUCGUUUCGUAAAACUCUGUUCUAUGGGAAGAAAAGGACUGUACCAUAGGAGAAAGCUCCGGCUAAAUACGUG